This 281-nucleotide ribosomal RNA is filed under the name uncultured Peptoniphilus sp. RNAcentral describes it as "partial 16S ribosomal RNA". It matches the Rfam family "Bacterial small subunit ribosomal RNA", at positions 77 to 356 of the family's 1533-position model. The record is from RNAcentral. Lineage: Bacteria; Bacillati; Bacillota; Tissierellia; Tissierellales; Peptoniphilaceae.
CGAAGAUAAGACGGAUUAGCGGCGGACGGGUGAGUAACACGUGAGUAACCUGCCUUUUACACAGGGAUAGCCUCGGGAAACCGGGAUUAAAACCUGAUGAAACUAUCAAAUCACAUGAUUAAGAAAGUUAAAACUCCGGUGGUAAAAGAUGGACUCGCGUCCCAUUAGCUAGUUGGUGAAGGUAACGGCCCACCAAGGCAACGAUGGGUAGCCGGCCUGAGAGGGUGAACGGCCACAUUGGAACUGAGAAACGGUCCAAACUCCUACGGGAGGCAGCAGCG